GCAUGUUUUUUCUUUUUGCUGCGUUGGUUGCUUUUUGUUUUUUCUCUUCCAGCUUUGACUUGCUGACCCAAGACGAGUCGCAUAAUUCAUCAUGCAUUCAUCUGAUUCAUGGACACCUGUGAUGUAAACAUAAAUGUCUGUAAUUAUACGAGAAGUGCCUUGUCUGUGGAUUGCUGUGUCUAGAGAUCAAUGAUUCUCUACAUGGGAUGAAGAAUUUAUGAUCAUUUACUCGUACAGUACAUCUCUACAAUUUGAUCUUGAAAGCCUUAUAUUGUAUUUUUAGGACUUAAACAGAUCAAUUGAGUUUUGCUUGUUAUUAUUUAAAAUUGAAAUAUUUAUUUUUACUCACUGACAAUUCUGAAUAGAGAAUUAUCUCAGACUAUUCUAAAAAGUCUUAUAUGUUUAAAAGAUAUAGAAACAACUGCAAAUGGCUCCAAUACCAUAGUAAUGAAGUUACAAUAUAGAAAGAUGUAUUUAUGUUAGUCAGUUAAUAAUUAAUGCAAUGUCUGUGGGUUAAAAGCCUUUGAUUUCUCUAGGAUUUCACAAUACGGAUGCAUAUCUAGCUUGGGUUUGUUUCUUAAAUUGACAUGGAAAUCUAGCAUUUUGUUGAGAUUUUAAAUAAGAAAAGGGUAUAAAUAUUAGUUAUUGGAAUGCUGCAAAUAUUUUCUGCAACCCUGCAGCAUAACAUCUAUCUGCAAGUAAAGCUUAUACAUCUUAAAAAGGAAAGAAUAUUUAAUAGGAUGUUGGUGCUAUGAAUAUGCUGCAAACCCUACGUUUUUUUCGUUACCUUCGGAUUAUGUUAUUCAUUUAAACUGCAAUUUUAGAACUUCUAUUUUAAAUUCAAAACUAUAAACAUGAGCUUUCUGAGUUGUUUUCGGUUGCACUAACGCUGCAUUCAUAAGUCCUCAUAUAGACUUUGUGAUAAUAGGGACCCCCCCGAAAGCUAGCUCAUUUCCACUGUUUAUUGUUAGCCAUGACAAAACUGAUAAAGACCUUAUUAAUGGCAUAAAGAAGAAGCUUAUCUCUGAGUAUCAUCGUAUCAUCUUGCUUUUUCUAGCUUUUAUAAUAUUUUUUGCUCUGACUUCACACAGAAUUGGAUGUAGCCAUAUCCGUAUAUGAUUAUGGAAAGUAGAGAAUCUGAUCUGUUUUUCAUAGUUUGGUUCCAUAAUGUAUCAUCAGAAUGUAGGAUAUCUGUUAAAUUAAAUAGAUGCUAUUAUAUUCUCAUAAACAUUUAAUUAAUACAGCUUCUUUAAUAUAACACCUUUGAUGCUAAUGCAACAGAUUUUAUUUUUAGACGUACUUACAGAUAAUAUUACUUUUAGAAAAUAUAAUUUUCAACAAACUUGUCUAAGCAAUCUGUUGAAAACCAGAGAUUUAAAAAAAAAUACUAUUCUUUUAAUGUCUAUGCUAUAAACUGGAAAAUUCAUAGGUUUCAAUAAUAUAGUCUACUAUUAUGUGGCAAGGUGCUUUAUACUGGUCUUAACUUUAGCGAGUUUUUAAAUGAUCUACAGAUGUUUUGUUUGAGCAGAUGAUCCUGGAAAAUGCAGUUUUCUUUAUGGGAAUAAUUAGCAACUAUAAGUGAGAAUGCAUAUUCAAUCAAAACAGCCUUUCAAACUCAUUGAUGCUCCAAGACAAUUAGGCUAAUUACCUCUGCAAUGUCAUGUGUGCCUAUUUAAUUGUUUAUUUUUUUUAUUAUGCUCGAAUUAGUAGAAUACUCAUCUGCUGCAAACAAUGAGGGGAUUUGCUAUUGUUAGUAUCUCUUGAGGUUUUAUGAAGAAGAUUCUAGUGAUUGCUAAUGAAAGGAUCUUGAGCAAAGCAUGCUAAUUAAAUAGCCCUUAAAAAAAAGAUAUCAAUGGCUAUCUAAUGGAAGGUUCCGGAAAUGCAUAUUGGUAACAUCAUGUUCAAGCUUAUUAGUUUUCUGGCUUUUAAUGUUCCAUUUGUGUUCAGCUUUUUCAGAAACUAUAAGUGGGAGAAACCUUGUUGCAAAUGAGAUAGAUUUGUUGUGUUAUUGUUAGCAUUCCCUAUGCUUCACACAGAUAGUACAUUGUGGUCUCUAAUGCAUUUCGGAUCAAUUAGGUAAAAAGCCUAUUUGGAACUCUGACUUCAAGCUAGGCCAGAUCACUGCUCAUUCAGCUGACUUCGUUUUAUUUUCCAUUUAUUUGUUAGUGUGAAUCAUAUCUGGAGCAUUUAUAUCUGGAAAGAUUUAAAAUUCAAGGACAAAAGUUUGUAUGAUAGCUGGAAAAGCCAAAUGUGUUGUGAUAGAAGCACUAAAAAGGUGCUAUAUGCAAUUAUUUGAUAAAUGAUGAAGAUAAACGGAAACUAAAUGAUAAGUUUUAACACUAUGACUAUAAGAGAUUACUUAUAGUUUUUCUUAUUAGAUAGCUUACUUUCUUCCUUUAUUUUAAUACAUUAAGGAACAAUCAUUGGGGUCUUCUUUUUUAUGAGGUGCAUGCAAAUAAUCUUUUAAUUUAAAUGGAAAUGGGUUAAAUAUAAGUCAGUUAGUAAUCCAGUCUAUAUUGGUAUUAUCUAAAUAUUCCAAUAUAAAAUAUCUCAGCUGGCAGUGUUUUUUAAGCAUGUCAAGUAGUUAGUGGAGACCUCUCGACAUUAAGCUACAGGAGACGAGUCUUUUUAAUACAAUGAGACUGCAGUAUUUUUGUUCAGAGAGAGAGGGGGGAAACAUGACCAAUUAAACAAGUUUAGGAUAAUACUACAGUGCUCAUUUUUAUCUAAUUACUUGGAAAAUCUGCACCUUUAACCACUAGAUUUAUUUUAAAAAUUGGAAAUACAUAUUGUAGUUGGAUUUAUUCCACCCGUUCUUAAACAAAAGAGAUGCACCAUCCUUUCCACUACUAGUAAUUACUAUCUGGUAUCCAGAGGUUAUAAAAAAAUUGGCUCUGCUCAUGCUGUGAGCAUAGCAAUUAUGGGUCAGAUAAAAUAUAUGUAGUCAUUUCAGGGCAGAACUACUUUGCUCUUUAAACUCUUUAUCUUCUGUAUAUUGUAAUAGUGUCAGUUAUAAAAAAAUCUCACAUAUUCAUGCUGUGAAAAUGACAAUUAGAGGUCAGAAUUAAAGGAAAGGAAUAGUUACUUCAAGGUUAUGCUAUUCUGCACUUUCAACUUUUCAUCUUAUGAAGAAUACCAUUAAGCUCUCUGCAAAUUAAUCACCACUAUAAUCUCUAGAAUAAUAAGGAUUUUGAAGUACACGUUUUGAAAUAAUUGGCACUUUUGUUCUCUGCACACCCUACUCGCUAGUUAUUAUUUUUGAAAUGCAUCUUUCUGUGUUUGAAAGAAAUGUUGGUGAUAUGUUUAUUAUUAUUGUUAUUAUUCAUUAUUUAAUUUCAACAUUGGCAGAGUGAGUUUCAUAAUAAAUGCCCAAGCAAUAAACAUAGUAUAAUAAAUAUUAAAAAAAUAUCUAUAGUAAAUACAAUACUGCAGAUUUCAUUACAUUUAGUGGACGAUGGUUCAUAUUUAAUUUUUUUAAUUCUGCCAAUUAAAAUAUUUCAGAUGCAAUUAUUAUAAUUAAGUAUUUUGCAACCCCUGUAGAUAGUUAUUUCAUGUAAUACACUUAGUUUUAUGAUUCUGACAACUGUGCAAUGACAAUUUAACUGGUUUAGUCUAGAGCCAGAAAAGCCUUAGUAGUGCUAAUGAGCAAAUGUGUUUCUCUUUCUAUGAUACUACUCUUAUAGUAGCUUAUUAUUGCUAUGUCCUCAUACCCAGAGUUGUACAGGCCGAAUAAAUGACACCUGUAUUUUGUUUUAUUCUAAAGGGAUAUAAAGCCCUUUUUUCAUGAUUCAGAUAGAUAUUGUGAUUUUAAAUAACUUUUCAAUUUACUUCUAUUAUUUUAUUUGUUCUUUUGAUAACCUUUUUUGAAAUGUAUUCAUAGGUAGACUCAGUUGCUGCUGAUUGGUGGCUGCAUAUAUACGCCUCUUUUCCUUGGCUUUCAGCUAGCUCCCAGUAGUGCAUUGCUGCUUCAUCCACAAAGGAUACCAAAAGAAUGAAGCAAAUUAGAUAAUAAAAGUAAAUUUGAAAGUUGUUUAAAAUUGUAUUCUCUAUCUGAAUCAUGAAAGAAUAAUUUUGUGUUUCAUGUCCCUUGAGCUUCAGUUAUUCUUGUAGUGUGUAAAUGUGUGUGUGCGUAGUUUUUAUAUAGGAGAAUAUGACUUAUUACUUUGAACUAAUUUUCUUUACCAUGGUCCUUAUACAGAUUUGUAAUAUUAAUAUAUUAUAACAAACUGAAGCUACAUUACUAAAUAUUUUUAAUAUGAUUUUCAUACAUAUAUGUCUUUCUCUGAAGCACCUAUAAUAAUGUAGUAUCCAAAACAUUGUAUUCAUAUCUAGAAUUAUAUUGAAUGAUUUAGCAAACAGUGAUCAACAUUUUCUGCUAAUUCUAAAAUUGUGAUACUAAUCAGAAGCGUUGAUAGUAACCAAAGGCUCAUGUUGAACUACUUAUAAAUCAUCCUAAAUAUUUUUUUUUAUUAUUUAUUAGUUUUCAACUAAAGAAAGUCCUGUAGUGAUCGCUAUAAUGCUGGUCACAAACAAAUAUUCAUCUACUUGUUUAUAGACUUGUAUAUUAUUUAUGUGUGCAUCCCAGUCGUAUUAUUGGUGAACUGCAUGUUUAUUAACAUACUAACACCUGAAGACACACAGUAAAUUCAAACACUGAGUCUACAGCUUUGAUUAAAAAACGACUAACACCACUUACAAUUGACUAACAAACUAACCAGGAACUAAAGCAUGCUCUACUAACCCCAUCUACUAACCUUGCAGAGACACAGACAACUGUUGAGGUUACUGACUCUGCUGAUCUUUCUCUUCUAACUACUAAUAUGUUAACGGCAAGCUAACUAACCAUAACUGCUUGUUCUGUUAUUUGAUUUGUCUGGUGGCGUGGUACAAUUGAGUGUAAAAACUCAGAGGAAAAGAUGUGGUGCCUGCAAUGCUAAUUUACUAACCUUUUGUACUAAUACUGGCACUAACCCUUUUAAACUGACUGAGUGAUAUUUUCUAUGCAUUUUAUCAUUCAAGUACUAUCAAGAUUAAAAAAAGGACUUAUAUUAAACCAAACCACAACAUGUGGUACUAACACUUUCAUAUCAUUCUACUGACUGGGUUUAUUUGGUGAUAGAUUCUCAUUUGUUUGAGGUUAUGUAUCAAGUAUUAUGUUUUUAUCAUUUGCUAAAUUAUGUUUCCAGUUAUGUUUUUUGUGGUACCUUUAAAUUAGACGCAAAACUGCAUUUCUGGAAAGAUUGUACAUUUAUGUAAUGGGGAUCUAAUAUGGUCAGCUAUCUAUUGAUUAAUUAGAAAGCAUGCCAUUUUUAAUCGUUUUAACUCAAUACAGUACCAGUGGCACAGUUUCAAUAUAUAUUUAAAAAUAAUUUACAAGUAAUGUCAGGGAUGCUUUAUUGAUUGAAAUCUGAUUUUGCUUCAGUUGAAGGACAAUUUUUAUGCAACAAAGAAAUUACUUACUUGAUCCCUUGUGGGUAAGAUAUGUAAGAGAAGGGUUCAUAUUUUUGUAAUGCUUGAUACAUUGCCUCCCACUCCAAUAAAAAAGCUAAUUAUUAAAAAAAAAUUGGGAAAAUUCCUGCAGGUAAAAAACAUUUUUAUGUUGUGACUCUAUGGGUUGCUUUUAAUACUGUUGUAAAAUGAAAUUAUGAGCUAUUUUAUUGUAUUAUCAAUAAGAUGUGUACUUUCUUAUUAUGAUGAAAUUA
Long non-coding RNA from Bombina bombina (fire-bellied toad), 5702 nucleotides. RefSeq lists it as uncharacterized. Lineage: Eukaryota; Metazoa; Chordata; Amphibia; Anura; Bombinatoridae. The record is from RefSeq and is a predicted model, not a curated record. The transcript is spliced from 2 exons.